RNAcentral lists this ribosomal RNA (377 nucleotides) under uncultured bacterium. RNAcentral's name for it is "bacterial SSU rRNA". It matches the Rfam family "Bacterial small subunit ribosomal RNA", at positions 521 to 896 of the family's 1533-position model. The record is from RNAcentral.
UAAUACGUAGGAGGCUAACGUUAUCCGGAUUUACUGGGCGUAAAGCGCGUGUAGGCGGUUCGGUAAGUUGGACGUGAAAGCUCCCGGCUCAACUGGGAGAGGUCGUUCAAUACUGUCGGACUAGAGGAUGGUAGAGGGAGGUGGAAUUCCGGGUGUAGUGGUGAAAUGCGCAGAUAUCCGGAGGAACACCAGUGGCGAAGGCGGCCUCCUGGACCACUCCUGACGCUCAGACGCGAAAGCUAGGGUAGCGAACGGGAUUAGAGACCCCGGUAGUCCUAGCCGUAAACGAUGUGAACUUGGCGUCGGUGGGAUUAAAUCCAUCGGUGUCGUAGCUAACGCGAUAAGUUCACCGCCUGAGGACUACGGCCGCAAGGUUA